UAAAGCGAUUCAGCGGGUUACGAUUGACGGAGCGAAGCGACGUCAAAGCGUAUACAAAGUCGAGUCGGUUUAAGGAUACGUUCGUUGGGUAGGGGAGCGUUCUGUAAGCCUGCGAAGGUGGCCUGUGAGGGUUGCUGGAGGUAUCAGAAGUGCGAAUGCUGACAUAAGUAACGAUAAAGCGGGUGAAAAGCCCGCUCGCCGGAAGACCAAGGGUUCCUGUCCAACGUUAAUCGGGGCAGGGUGAGUCGACCCCUAAGGCGAGGCCGAAAGGCGUAGUCGAUGGGAAACAGGUUAAUAUUCCUGUACUUGGUGUUACUGCGAAGGGGGGACGGAGAAGGCUAUGUUGGCCGGGCGACGGUUGUCCCGGUUUAAGCGUGUAGGUGUGUGUUCCAGGUAAAUCCGGUUCACUUUAACACUGAGGCGUGAUGACGAGGCACUACGGUGCUGAAGCAACAAAUGCCCUGCUUCCAGGAAAAGCCUCUAAGCAUCAGGUAACAUCAAAUCGUACCCCAAACCGACACAGGUGGUCAGGUAGAGAAUACCAAGGCGCUUGAGAGAACUCGGGUGAAGGAACUAGGCAAAAUGGUGCCGUAACUUCGGGAGAAGGCACGCUGACACGUAGGUGAAGUGAUUUACUCACGGAGCUGAAGUCAGUCGAAGAUACCAGCUGGCUGCAACUGUUUAUUAAAAACACAGCACUGUGCAAACACGAAAGUGGACGUAUACGGUGUGACGCCUGCCCGGUGCCGGAAGGUUAAUUGAUGGGGUCAGCGCAAGCGAAGCUCCUGAUCGAAGCCCCGGUAAACGGCGGCCGUAACUAUAACGGUCCUAAGGUAGCGAAAUUCCUUGUCGGGUAAGUUCCGACCUGCACGAAUGGCGUAAUGAUGGCCAGGCUGUCUCCACCCGAGACUCAGUGAAAUUGAACUCGCUGUGAAGAUGCAGUGUACCCGCGGCAAGACGGAAAGACCCCGUGAACCUUUACUAUAGCUUGACACUGAACAUUGAGCCUUGAUGUGUAGGAUAGGUGGGAGGCUUUGAAGUGUGGACGCCAGUCUGCAUGGAGCCGACCUUGAAAUACCACCCUUUAAUGUUUGAUGUUCUAACGUGGACCCGUAAUCCGGGUUGCGGACAGUGUCUGGUGGGUAGUUUGACUGGGGCGGUCUCCUCCUAAAGAGUAACGGAGGAGCACGAAGGUUGGCUAAUCCUGGUCGGACAUCAGGAGGUUAGUGCAAUGGCAUAAGCCAGCUUGACUGCGAGCGUGACGGCGCGAGCAGGUGCGAAAGCAGGUCAUAGUGAUCCGGUGGUUCUGAAUGGAAGGGCCAUCGCUCAACGGAUAAAAGGUACUCCGGGGAUAACAGGCUGAUACCGCCCAAGAGUUCAUAUCGACGGCGGUGUUUGGCACCUCGAUGUCGGCUCAUCACAUCCUGGGGCUGAAGUAGGUCCCAAGGGUAUGGCUGUUCGCCAUUUAAAGUGGUACGCGAGCUGGGUUUAGAACGUCGUGAGACAGUUCGGUCCCUAUCUGCCGUGGGCGCUGGAGAACUGAGGGGGGCUGCUCCUAGUACGAGAGGACCGGAGUGGACGCAUCACUGGUGUUCGGGUUGUCAUGCCAAUGGCACUGCCCGGUAGCUAAAUGCGGAAGAGAUAAGUGCUGAAAGCAUCUAAGCACGAAACUUGCCCCGA
Molecule: ribosomal RNA, 1680 nt
Filed under: Salmonella enterica
Lineage: Bacteria; Pseudomonadati; Pseudomonadota; Gammaproteobacteria; Enterobacterales; Enterobacteriaceae
Description: bacterial LSU rRNA
Rfam family: Bacterial large subunit ribosomal RNA
Source: RNAcentral